This 746-nucleotide long non-coding RNA is filed under the name Vulpes vulpes (red fox). RNAcentral describes it as "lncRNA (ENSVVUG00000021105.1)". The record is from RNAcentral. Lineage: Eukaryota; Metazoa; Chordata; Mammalia; Carnivora; Canidae.
AAGUUGUGAUUGUUAUCGCUUAGCUCCUCUAACUUAAUUUAAUUAGAGCAAACCAUGUGCAUUAUGUAUUUACAGCAUAAAACAACAGAGGAGAAUAAUUUAUCAUAAAUGAAAAUACUGAAGUGGCCUCUUCUGCUCUGGAGAACCCUCCUUCAUAAACAAGUAGUUUGGGGAAAAGCCAAUUUCCAGUGGGCUUGUUCACUGUGUUCUUACUUCGGAGAGAGCAUCCAAUUCCAGGAAUAUUUUUGCCAGCAAUAAAUUCACUUUAACCGGAAAAGUUACAGAGGAUUAUCUUAAGUGCCUGCAGAGCAGAAAUGACAAGUCAGAGGAACCAUCCAUUACGUUCACUGUGAAGAAAUUCAAUGUAGGGACAAGCCUGUAUUACUUUCGUAUGGAGAGAAAAACUCAGUAUGGUUUGGCCACACUCAUUCGGCAGAGAAUCACGUCAUACUGGAGAUAUUGUCAGUGACCUGGACAUUGCCCAGAACCUCUGAAGGGAAGGGCAUCACCUGACAUUCCUGGAAGUCAUCUGAUAAAUGUAUAAAGGAUUAAACAAAUUCCGCCAUGUGGAUCUAGAGAAGAAACUGAUUAAAACAAUGAUGUGAGUCAUCAAUGAAGACCACAGUGGGGAGGAACUAGGUGGGAGGAUAGGGAAUAUUCCAGAAGAGAAGAGCAUUUCAAAAAUAAUUUCAACCACAGAAAGGUUGAAAAAGAAUAAAUUCAGGGAAUUCACAGAAAAGGAGACA